AACGAACGCUGGCGGCAUGCCUAACACAUGCAAGUCGAACGAGAUCUUCGGGUCUAGUGGCGCACGGGUGCGUAACGCGUGGGAAUCUGCCCUUUGGUUCGGAAUAACAGUUGGAAACGACUGCUAAUACCGGAUGAUGACGAAAGUCCAAAGAUUUAUCGCCAGAGGAUGAGCCCGCGUAGGAUUAGCUAGUUGGUGUGGUAAAGGCGCACCAAGGCGACGAUCCUUAGCUGGUCUGAGAGGAUGAUCAGCCAUACUGGGACUGAGACACGGCCGAGACUCCAACGGGAGGCAGCAGUGGGGAAUAUUGGACAAUGGGCGAAAGCCUGAUCCAGCAAUGCCGCGUGAGUGAUGAAGGCCUUAGGGUUGUAAAGCUCUUUUACCCGGGAUGAUAAUGACAGUACCGGGAGAAUAAGCUCCGGCUAACUCCGUGCCAGCCGCCGCGGUAA
RNAcentral lists this ribosomal RNA (449 nucleotides) under uncultured bacterium. Its description in RNAcentral is "partial 16S ribosomal RNA". It matches the Rfam family "Bacterial small subunit ribosomal RNA", at positions 29 to 523 of the family's 1533-position model. The record is from RNAcentral.